UGUCCCUGACCUGGGUAGAGUGGCAUCUGGUUGGUGGUGCCCAUCUCAUAUCAGCCAGGGACAAAGCAACCCCUUGUUCAUCCCAGCUUGGCUUUUGAUCUGUGCCUAUGCCUGGUUCAUGCCUUGGACACAUAG
This is a small nucleolar RNA of Aotus nancymaae (Ma's night monkey), 135 nucleotides long. The record is from Ensembl. Lineage: Eukaryota; Metazoa; Chordata; Mammalia; Primates; Aotidae.